UACAGAGGUGGCAAGCGUUGUUCGGAAUUACUGGGCGUAAAGGGCGCGUAGGCGGCCAUCUAAGUCAGACGUGAAAUCCCCGGGCUUAACCUGGGAACUGCAUUUGUGACUGCACGGCUGGAGUGCGGCAGAGGGGGAUGGAAUUCCGCGUGUAGCAGUGAAAUGCGUAGAUAUGCGGAGGAACACCGAUGGCGAAGGCAAUCCCCUGGGCCUGCACUGACGCUCAUGCACGAAAGCGUGGGGAGCAAACAGG
This 253-nucleotide ribosomal RNA is filed under the name uncultured bacterium. RNAcentral describes it as "partial 16S ribosomal RNA". It matches the Rfam family "Bacterial small subunit ribosomal RNA", at positions 524 to 776 of the family's 1533-position model. The record is from RNAcentral.